UACGUAGGGGGCAAGCGUUGUCCGGAAUCAUUGGGCGUAAAGAGCGUGUAGGCGGCCAGAAAAGUCCGCUGUGAAAACUCGAGGCUCAACUUCGAGCUGUCGGUGGAAACUUUCUGGCUAGAGUCCGGAAGAGGAGAUUGGAAUUCCUGGUGUAGCGGUGGAAUGCGCAGAUAUCAGGAGGAACACCGAUGGCGAAGGCAGAUCUCUGGGCCGUAACUGACGCUGAGGAGCGAAAGCGUGGGGAGCGAACAGG
This 253-nucleotide ribosomal RNA is filed under the name uncultured bacterium. RNAcentral's name for it is "partial 16S ribosomal RNA". It matches the Rfam family "Bacterial small subunit ribosomal RNA", at positions 524 to 776 of the family's 1533-position model. The record is from RNAcentral.